This 254-nucleotide ribosomal RNA is filed under the name uncultured bacterium. RNAcentral's name for it is "partial 16S ribosomal RNA". It matches the Rfam family "Bacterial small subunit ribosomal RNA", at positions 524 to 776 of the family's 1533-position model. The record is from RNAcentral.
GACGAACCGUGCGAACGUUAUUCGGAAUCACUGGGCUUAAAGCGCGUGUAGGCGGGAGGGUACGUCCGUCGCUGAAAUCCCCCGGCUCAACCGGGGAACGGGCGCGGAUACGACCUUCCUGGAGGGGCGUAGGGGGACCUGGAACUUCCGGUGGAGCGGUGAAAUGCGUUGAGAUCGGAAGGAACGCCCGUGGCGAAAGCGAGGUCCUGGACGCCUACUGACGCUGAGACGCGAAAGCCAGGGGAGCGAACGGG